RNAcentral lists this ribosomal RNA (468 nucleotides) under uncultured bacterium. Its description in RNAcentral is "partial 16S ribosomal RNA". It matches the Rfam family "Bacterial small subunit ribosomal RNA", at positions 28 to 507 of the family's 1533-position model. The record is from RNAcentral.
GACGAACGCUGGCGGCGGGCUUAACACAUGCAAGUCGAACGGAAAGGCCCUGCUUUUGGGGGGUGCUCGAGUUGCGAACGGGGGAGUAACCCGUGUGUAACCUGCCGUUGACUUUGGGAUAACUUCAGGAAACUGGGGCUAAUACCGGGUAGGAGCUCCUGCUGAAUGGUGGGGGUUGGAAAGUUUCGGCGGUUGGGGAUGGACUCGCGCCUUAUCAGCUUGUUGGUGUGGUAGUGGCUUAGCAAGCCUUUGACGGGUAGCAUGGCUGAGAGGGUGACAGGCCACAUUGGGCCUGAGCUACGGCCCGGCCUCCUCCGGGACGCAGCAGUGCAGAAUAUUGCACUAUGGGCGGAAGCCUGCUCCAGCCACGCCGCGUCGGGGAUGACGGCCAUCGCUUUGUAUUCCGCUUCCGUCUGUGCUGAGGCGUGAGUGACGGUAAUGGGUAAAGAAGCACCGGCUAACUACGUG